ACGGAGGGGGCUAGCGUUGUUCGGAAUUACUGGGCGUAAAGCGCACGUAGGCGGCUUUGUAAGUUAGAGGUGAAAGCCCAGAGCUCAACUCUGGAAUUGCCUUUAAGACUGCAUCGCUUGAAUUGUGGAGAGGUGAGUGGAAUUCCGAGCGUAGAGGUGAAAUUCGUAGAUAUUAGGAAGAACACCAGUGGCGAAGGCGGCUCACUGGCUCGGUACUGACGCUGAGGCGCGAAAGCGUGGGGAGCAAACAGGA
Molecule: ribosomal RNA, 253 nt
Filed under: uncultured prokaryote
Description: partial 16S ribosomal RNA
Rfam family: Bacterial small subunit ribosomal RNA
Source: RNAcentral